UUGUAAUCUGUGUUUGAAUUCACCAAUCAUUUUUUCGCCUAGCCAUAUUGUAUAUGCUUCGAUUUCGCACCGAAUUCUAUAAAAGGAAAACCAUAAAAAAUUGCAGUCAGAAAGUCAACAAGUUACUCGAAUUUUCAAAAAAUGGAAAAACCUACGUUAGAAGAAAAUCACGACCAGGCAUCCAAGAUAGAUGACCUGAGUGCCUUUCUUCGCGUCCCCAAGACCCAUUUGACCAACAGUUCAUAACGACAUAGGGUGCGCUACUGCCAUA
Bombus pyrosoma is the source of this 271-nucleotide long non-coding RNA. RefSeq lists it as uncharacterized. Lineage: Eukaryota; Metazoa; Arthropoda; Insecta; Hymenoptera; Apidae. The transcript has 2 exons. The record is from RefSeq and is a predicted model, not a curated record.